UAUCUCCCCACCCCCAAAUUUUUAAGCUGAAGCCCUAAUGCCUAAUACCUCAGAAUGUAACUGUAUUUGGAGACAGGGCCUUUGAGGAGAUAAUUAAAAUGAGGCCAUUAGGAUGGACCCUACUCUGACUGGUGUCAUAAGGAGGACUAACAGAAGGACAUCAGGGAUUGGAGCGCACAGAGAAAGCCCAAGGACAGCGGCGUCAGAAAUCAACCCUGCCAACACCUUGAUCUUGGGGUCUCCAGCCUCAGCCCUGGGAGGAAAAAGAUUUCUGUUGUUUCAGCCCCCAGGCUAGCAAACUAAUACAGAAGGUUAUAUCCACUUUAUAUUCUGACCACCGUUUACUAUGAUUCAGAAUGCACAAGACAGCUAAUGGAAUGUUUCUUCUCCCACCCAAAGCUUAGUGAAGAGAGGUCUUCUCCAUCAGGGUGAACAGAAAAUAAAUACGUAAAAAACCUCCAUCAGAUCCUCACUUCUUCUGAAGGCCAG
Hyaena hyaena (striped hyena) is the source of this 489-nucleotide long non-coding RNA. RefSeq lists it as uncharacterized. The record is from RefSeq and is a predicted model, not a curated record. Lineage: Eukaryota; Metazoa; Chordata; Mammalia; Carnivora; Hyaenidae. The transcript has 3 exons.